GGAAUUUUCCGCAAUGGGCGAAAGCCUGACGGAGCAACGCCGCGUGAGGGAUGAAGGCCUCUGGGCUGUAAACCUCUUUUAUCAAGGAAGAAGAUCUGACGGUACUUGAUGAAUAAGCCACGGCUAAUUCCGUGCCAGCAGCCGCGGUAAUACGGGAGUGGCAAGCGUUAUCCGGAAUUAUUGGGCGUAAAGCGUCCGCAGGCGGUCUUUUAAGUCUGCUGUUAAAGCGUGGAGCUUAACUCCAUUUCGGCAGUGGAAACUGGAAGACUAGAGUGUGGUAGGGGCAGAGGGAAUUCCCGGUGUAGCGGUGAAAUGCGUAGAUAUCGGGAAGAACACCAGUGGCGAAGGCGCUCUGCUGGGCCAUAACUGACGCUCAUGGACGAAAGCCAGGGGAGCGAAAGGGAUUAGAUACCCCUGUAGUC
Molecule: ribosomal RNA, 422 nt
Filed under: uncultured cyanobacterium
Lineage: Bacteria; Bacillati; Cyanobacteriota
Description: bacterial SSU rRNA
Rfam family: Bacterial small subunit ribosomal RNA
Source: RNAcentral